This 1356-nucleotide ribosomal RNA is filed under the name Lactiplantibacillus plantarum. RNAcentral's name for it is "bacterial SSU rRNA". It matches the Rfam family "Bacterial small subunit ribosomal RNA", at positions 65 to 1391 of the family's 1533-position model. The record is from RNAcentral. Lineage: Bacteria; Bacillati; Bacillota; Bacilli; Lactobacillales; Lactobacillaceae.
AACUCUGGUAUUGAUUGGUGCUUGCAUCAUGAUUUACAUUUGACUGAGUGGCGAACUGGUGAGUAACACGUGGGAAACCUGCCCAGAAGCGGGGGAUAACACCUGGAAACAGAUGCUAAUACCGCAUAACAACUUGGACCGCAUGGUCCGAGCUUGAAAGAUGGCUUCGGCUAUCACUUUUGGAUGGUCCCGCGGCGUAUUAGCUAGAUGGUGGGGUAACGGCUCACCAUGGCAAUGAUACGUAGCCGACCUGAGAGGGUAAUCGGCCACAUUGGGACUGAGACACGGCCCAAACUCCUACGGGAGGCAGCAGUAGGGAAUCUUCCACAAUGGACGAAAGUCUGAUGGAGCAACGCCGCGUGAGUGAAGAAGGGUUUCGGCUCGUAAAACUCUGUUGUUAAAGAAGAACAUAUCUGAGAGUAACUGUUCAGGUAUUGACGGUAUUUAACCAGAAAGCCACGGCUAACUACGUGCCAGCAGCCGCGGUAAUACGUAGGUGGCAAGCGUUGUCCGGAUUUAUUGGGCGUAAAGCGAGCGCAGGCGGUUUUUUAAGUCUGAUGUGAAAGCCUUCGGCUCAACCGAAGAAGUGCAUCGGAAACUGGGAAACUUGAGUGCAGAAGAGGACAGUGGAACUCCAUGUGUAGCGGUGAAAUGCGUAGAUAUAUGGAAGAACACCAGUGGCGAAGGCGGCUGUCUGGUCUGUAACUGACGCUGAGGCUCGAAAGUAUGGGUAGCAAACAGGAUUAGAUACCCUGGUAGUCCAUACCGUAAACGAUGAAUGCUAAGUGUUGGAGGGUUUCCGCCCUUCAGUGCUGCAGCUAACGCAUUAAGCAUUCCGCCUGGGGAGUACGGCCGCAAGGCUGAAACUCAAAGGAAUUGACGGGGGCCCGCACAAGCGGUGGAGCAUGUGGUUUAAUUCGAAGCUACGCGAAGAACCUUACCAGGUCUUGACAUACUAUGCAAAUCUAAGAGAUUAGACGUUCCCUUCGGGGACAUGGAUACAGGUGGUGCAUGGUUGUCGUCAGCUCGUGUCGUGAGAUGUUGGGUUAAGUCCCGCAACGAGCGCAACCCUUAUUAUCAGUUGCCAGCAUUAAGUUGGGCACUCUGGUGAGACUGCCGGUGACAAACCGGAGGAAGGUGGGGAUGACGUCAAAUCAUCAUGCCCCUUAUGACCUGGGCUACACACGUGCUACAAUGGAUGGUACAACGAGUUGCGAACUCGCGAGAGUAAGCUAAUCUCUUAAAGCCAUUCUCAGUUCGGAUUGUAGGCUGCAACUCGCCUACAUGAAGUCGGAAUCGCUAGUAAUCGCGGAUCAGCAUGCCGCGGUGAAUACGUUCCCGGGCCUUGUACACACC